CGACCGGCGCACGGGUGAGUAACACGUAUGGAACCUGCCCGCAGCAGGGGGAUAAGCGGAAGAAAUUCCGUCUAAUACCGCGUAACACCGCAGAGGGGCAUCCCUCGGCGGUUAAAGAUUCAUCGGCUGCGGAUGGCCAUGCGGCGCAUUAGCUAGUCGGCGGGGUAACGGCCCACCGAGGCGACGAUGCGUAGGGGUUCUGAGAGGAAGGUCCCCCACCACUGGUACUGAGACACGGACCAGACUCCUACGGGAGGCAGCAG
Molecule: ribosomal RNA, 263 nt
Filed under: uncultured bacterium
Lineage: Bacteria
Description: partial 16S ribosomal RNA
Rfam family: Bacterial small subunit ribosomal RNA
Source: RNAcentral